Ribosomal RNA from Cricetulus griseus (Chinese hamster), 138 nucleotides. The record is from Ensembl. NCBI's taxonomy places the organism in Eukaryota, Metazoa, Chordata, Mammalia, Rodentia, Cricetidae.
UUUUACAGCCAUACUACCCUGAAUGUGCCGGGUCUCAUCUGAUCUUUCUAAGAAUGGUCAGGUCUGGUUAGUACUGGGAUGGGAGACUUCUAGAAGCUAAUUGCCCAGCAUCUGAGCUAUUUCCAGGGACUGUUGGAA